UNGAGGUAGUUCCAAAGCCUACAUUGAAC
This 29-nucleotide non-coding RNA is filed under the name Mus musculus (house mouse). Lineage: Eukaryota; Metazoa; Chordata; Mammalia; Rodentia; Muridae. The record is from RNAcentral.